AUGGCCGAGCACUCGACCGCCUUCGCCACUUCUUCGGCCACCAGCUCGGCCACCUCGUCGGGGACUCUCUCCGGCUCGUCCACCGGCGCCGGCACCACCGCCGGCACGUCCUCUCCCUUCAUCUUCGGCACCAUCCCCUCUUCCCAUAGUGGCUCCUCCCCCUCGCUCGGUUCUCAGUUCGCCCCCCUAUUCCCCAACUCCACGGCGCCGCCGCUCUCCUUCGCCGCCGCUCCCUCCUCCCACCGCAUUUUCCGCGACAGCAUCCAGAACCACAUCAAGUUUAUUCUCAACCCCGACGAUCACAACUACCACAAGUGGAAGUCAUUCUUCCUCCUUGUUCUGAUCCGCUAUGGCGUCUCUCAGUUCAUCGAACAGCCCCUUCCCCCUAACGCCACCACGUUCCAGCGCGAGCUCGACGCCCACCUCGUGCUCUGGAUCUACUCCACCCUCGCCGACAACCUUUUCGAUCACGUCGUCGGGGCCACCACCACCUACGAUCUCUGGCAUCGCAUUCGCGACUACUUCCUAGCGAACCGCGCGGCGCGGUACAUGAUGUUGAACCGGCAAUACCGCAACCUCAAACAGGGGGAUCUCCCCGUUGCCGAGUAUGCCCGCCGUAUGAAGCUUCUCACCGCCGGCCUAGCCGACAUCGAGCACGCCGUCACCGAGGUGGAUCUCACCACUCAGUUUCUUCACGGCAUCGACAAACGUCUCGACACCAUCCGCGUCGUGCUCGGGGACACGGUUCCUCUGCCACCGUUCGAGAUGGUGUUCUCUCGCCUGAAGCUCGCCGAGGAGAACCUCGCCCAGCGCGCGGCGGCCCCUCCGGCAGUUCCUCUGGAUCCAGCGGCUCCGGUCCUCGCCCCAUCGACCGCGCUGAUCGCUCCAAUGAUCGGGGCCCCGCCUCUCCGGACGGCCGUGGCUCUGGCAACCGCGCUGAUCGCUCCAAUGAUCGGGGCCCCGCCUCUCCGGACGACCGUGGCUCUGGCAACCGCGCUGAUGGUGGCAACCGCGGUGGAUGUGGCCGUGGGCGCGGUGAUCAUGGUGGACGCGGCAACCCCCCGCCCGUGUCCUACAAUCCCUACAUGGGGUUCUUCACGCCUUACGGGAUGGCCCUCCCGAACCAGCGUCCUGGCUGGGUCCCUCCCAACGCCGCCGGCGUGCUCGGCCCGCGGCCAGGGUCCCAUGCGCAGCCGUAUCUGA
Molecule: ribosomal RNA, 1203 nt
Filed under: Triticum aestivum (bread wheat)
Lineage: Eukaryota; Viridiplantae; Streptophyta; Magnoliopsida; Poales; Poaceae
Description: partial small subunit ribosomal RNA
Source: RNAcentral